This 497-nucleotide ribosomal RNA is filed under the name uncultured bacterium. Its description in RNAcentral is "partial 16S ribosomal RNA". It matches the Rfam family "Bacterial small subunit ribosomal RNA", at positions 28 to 507 of the family's 1533-position model. The record is from RNAcentral.
GAUGAACGCUGGCGGCGUGCCUAAUACAUGCAAGUCGAGCGAACGGACGAGAAGCUUGCUUUUGUGAUGUUAGCGGCGGACGGGGGAGUAACACGUGGAUAACCUCCCUAUAAGACUGGGAUACCUUCGGGAAACCGGAGCUAAUACCGGAUAAUAUUCUGCACCGCAUGGCUCAAAAGUGAAAUACGGUCUUGCUGUCACUAAUAGAUGGAGCCGCGCUGCCUUGGCUAGUUGGUAAUGGAACGGCUUACCCAGGCCACGAGGCAAAGCCGACCCGAGCGGGAGAUCGGCCAGCCGGGCAGUGAGACGGGGUCGAGACUUCUGCGGGGGGCCGCAGUCGGGACUCCUCCGCGAUGGGGGAGUGGGUGACGGUGCACCGCGGCGUGAGUGAUGAUGGUCUUCGGAUCGUAGAGCGAUGUUAUUAGGGAAGAAGAUAUGUGUAGGUAACUGUGAACAUCUUGACGGUACCAAAUCAGAAAGCCCCGGCUAACUACGUG